CGCUCCGCGGAGGAACUCGAUCGUAAUAAGCUCGGCGGCGGCAGGGACGACCAGUCGCACCGUCUAGGGCUGACGAGACCGACGAUUGGCGGGCGGCGGGGAAGAAAUAAUCUUCCAAUAACGUCUCUGAUAGGAAGGAGAGGGGAGAGAGAGAGGGGGUUUCUUCUCCGAUUUCCAAUCGCGAGCAGAUGGCGUCAGCAAUUGGUCGUUUCUCUCCCUUUCUUCAUUUGUAUAAUUAAUUAUUCAAAAUUUAUUAAGGAUUUUCUAAUAUUUGGA
RNAcentral lists this long non-coding RNA (276 nucleotides) under Erythranthe guttata (spotted monkey flower). RNAcentral describes it as "long non-coding RNA (EGUT_LNC002787)". Lineage: Eukaryota; Viridiplantae; Streptophyta; Magnoliopsida; Lamiales; Phrymaceae. The record is from RNAcentral.